Molecule: long non-coding RNA, 789 nt
Organism: Vidua chalybeata
Lineage: Eukaryota; Metazoa; Chordata; Aves; Passeriformes; Viduidae
Exons: 3
Source: RefSeq, a predicted model, not a curated record
UUCUUCCAUACAGCUGUAUUCAAGGCAAAGCACCUGGGACAUGGAUUCACCUGCAAUGGGUGUCUCAUCACAGCAAGCAGGGCACUUCGUCUGAAGCAAAGGAACAAAACCAGUUCACAAUUUCUGCGAAGGUGUCAGGAUACAAGUGCAAUCUGAACACCAUUAGUGCUGUGAAAAUGUUCCCAGAGGAAAGGAGGGGACACUGAAUGGCAGAGUGCCAUGCUGCCUUUCAGAGGGACACCGCAGCUGCCCGUGUAGAACAGCCUGGUGAUGCAUCCAGCUCAGCACAUAUCUCCCACAGUGUCCCCUGCCAUGUGCUCUGGAGGAAAGAGUAGACAUUCCCCCACAUUUCAACCUGUCAGGAAGUCAACAUUGUACUACAGAACAAGCUCUGCAUUCCUGACUGCCUCUGUCACUCAUGACGAAGAAGAGGAUUUUUGAGCCCUCUAAUGACCAGCAUAUAAAUGAUACAAAAAAAUAUCAAUCCUUCUCCUCUCUGUACUAUCCAGAUUUGUACAUUAGCACACACCUGCCUCUGAAACUUCCCAGAAUUCCUAACCAAAAGUACCAAAAUCCUCGUGCGAAGACUGCACUGUCUGUGUAACACGCUCACAUCUGCAACAGCGCGUUCUUUCUCCCGGCUCCGGGCAGCUCCGGCGCAUUUUGGCCCCGCCUCCCUCCGGAGCUCGGGCUUGCCGCUUCUCUUCCACGUGCCACUGUGGCGGCACGCCGGUCGGGGUUCUGUCGCCCGCGCGAGGGUCCAAGGCGAAAAGGGAAGCAAUUGUCCAG